UACGUAGGGGCGAGCGUUGUCCGGAUUAUUGGCGUAAAGAGCUCGUAGGCGGUUUGGUAAGUCGGGUGUGAAACUCCACGCUCAAUGUGGAGGGCCACUCGAUACUGCCAUGACUCGAGUCCGGUAGAGGAGUGUGGAAUUCCGGUGUAGCGGUGAAAUGCGCAGAUAUCGGGAAGACACCCGUGGCGAAGGCGGCUCUCUGGGACGGUACUGACGCUGAGACGCGAAAGCGUGGGGAGCGAACGAGG
RNAcentral lists this ribosomal RNA (248 nucleotides) under uncultured bacterium. RNAcentral's name for it is "partial 16S ribosomal RNA". It matches the Rfam family "Bacterial small subunit ribosomal RNA", at positions 524 to 777 of the family's 1533-position model. The record is from RNAcentral.